This 906-nucleotide ribosomal RNA is filed under the name Triticum aestivum (bread wheat). RNAcentral describes it as "partial small subunit ribosomal RNA". Lineage: Eukaryota; Viridiplantae; Streptophyta; Magnoliopsida; Poales; Poaceae. The record is from RNAcentral.
AUGUUGGAUAUUCUCGAAGAAAUACUUGCGAUGAAGGGUAGCCAUUGUUUGCAUGCUUCCUCCCUGUGUAAGAAUUUCAUAACUAUUGUAUUGGUGCAUUUGGUUCCUAAGCCAUCCUCUCAAGCUCCCACUUCGAUAGUUGUGAUCCUUGGGUCUGCGAAGCCAGGUUUGCAGAAGAAAUUGGGGGGCUCAAGUCUGCAAUCAAGGGAGCCUACAUGGUGGUCUCUGUUGUUUGAAGGCAAGGUGCUCGGGAAUGAGCCACUGGCUAAAUCGUUUGGUGAUCUCAAGGAUAAUUUAUCCGGGUUUCUUUGUUUAGGUGGUGCUGUAGAAAUAGCAAUGUCGAUGCUACUGUCAAUUGUUUUGUUCAGUUCCUACAAGAAGCAUCUUUCCAUGGAGCUUAAAUACCUUUUCCAAUACAUAGUUAAUCAACCGACGAAAGGAUUGGGUAUUGAGCUUCUUGUACUUGAGUUACCAAUUUUCGUAAGGGUCAUACUUAUUGGACCAUGGCACACCCUGCCAAUGCAGGUUGCUUCCAUGACCAUACUUCAAAUAGGGCUAGACAGUUCCCGAGUUCAGUCCAACCGAAACACUGCAUUUAUCUUUCUCGAUGAGUAUGGCAGAAUCCAACAUCCAUUCAACCCUAAAUUGGGGCUCCAUGGCUACCAACCGAUGGAGCAAGAAUGGAGACCACCCUCUCCUCCUCCAAUUUGGAGCUCCACGGCCGCCAUUCAACAGGCGCUGCCGUCGUUGCCUCCUCACCGCCUCACCUGGGAGAGCACAGGCGCCAACAUCACCCACGACCCGCCACAUGUUCGGUCAACAAGCUGUAGUUCAAUUAGGUCUGUUGCUCCUCUUACAUGCAGAGCCUGGGGAGAUCAUGGUCUUCUCUCAUUCUCUUGUGAAUAA